GACAGGAGCGCACGGUGCGGCUUGGAACAUAAAGCGGGGGCUAGGGUAAUUAGGCUGGAAAGAGCAACUGUUUUAAAAAAGAAAGAAAAGGAAAGAAAAAAGGCUUCUUCUCUUCGGGUAUCGGGUGGAAAGGGCACAGGACGCCCGCCUGGAGAAAAUGACCUUCCUUUCCCGGUAAAUGACCUGCCUUCCCAAUUAGGGAGCAUUCACCGAAAGGACGGGUUAAAGAGGAAACGACCCUUCUCCCCGCUUUAUUUUUUAACUAGCAGCACUCCGAGGACUGCAAAGAGCUGCAGCCCAACCCUCCGCCUGGGAUCACGCCGUGGGGUUCGGCCCGGCCCGGCUCGCGAGCCCAGGCCGCGGGGCACCGGGAGGCCAUUUUGCGCGUGCGCCGCUCGCCUCGCGCCGCCCGCAGCUCGGCGGACUCCGCUCCCGCCAAUUUUGAAAGCUAGAUUCUCAGGCCCUAGCAGGCUGGGGAGGAGGGGAAACGAAGUCCUUUCUCCAAGUCCGGACCCCGUGGCGAGCUGCGGCGACAGCCGGGUGGAAUGGACUCUAAUACCCUGGGAAGGAAACUUGACCAGGUGAUAGUGUCGAGGAAGUGAGUGGCCGCGCGACAGGAAUGUCAAGAUCUGGGUGAAGGACCACACUUCGGGACCCAAAGGCGACGCCUAGGUCUCCGGCCAGGGCAAAACUGGAAGGUCCGGCGGCCUGGAAACCCCGGCAGGGUAGAGGAUCGAGCGGUCGGAGGUUGGGACGUCGCCUCUGACAGCCACCAGGACGCAGAGGUUUCCUGCAGAGUCCGCGCCUGCCUAAUUCUCCGGGGGCAGAAACGCUUUUCUGGCCCAGGACUCCCACGUGCGCCCAAAAACCGGGAGAGAGAGGGACGGCUUGGUGAGAGGGGUACGGGUAACUGCAGAGAAGUGAAAGCGGCCUAAAAUGGGCGACACCCGGCGAGUCCUCUUUAUCGGCGCAGACUGCAGGGGCCGCCAUUUGGUGGCGGAUUUCGGUAUUUCUGUAGCACGUUGUUCUGAACUUCACAACUGGCUGGUCUACGUGGCACGGUGGUUUCGGAACCGCAGUUCUUAAAGAUGCAAA
This is a long non-coding RNA of Bos indicus x Bos taurus (hybrid cattle), 1095 nucleotides long. Lineage: Eukaryota; Metazoa; Chordata; Mammalia; Artiodactyla; Bovidae. The record is from Ensembl.